Molecule: ribosomal RNA, 906 nt
Filed under: uncultured delta proteobacterium
Lineage: Bacteria; Deltaproteobacteria
Description: bacterial SSU rRNA
Rfam family: Bacterial small subunit ribosomal RNA
Source: RNAcentral
AACGAACGCUGGCGGCGUGCCUAACACAUGCAAGUCGAACGAGUAAUCGGGCACUCAGGCAACUGAGUGCCGGAGAGUAAAGUGGCGCACGGGUGAGUAACACGUGGGUAACCUACCCCAGAAUCCGGGAUAACCUCGCGAAAGCGUUGCUAAUACCGGAUAUUGUCCUAAUGGUUGUGACCUUUGGGAUGAAAGGCAACCUCUUCAUGAAAGUUGCCGUUCAGGGAUGGGCCCGCGCACCAUUAGCUUGUUGGUGGGGUAACGGCUCACCAAGGCUACGAUGGUUAGCUGGUCUGAGAGGAUGAUCAGCCACACUGGAACUGAAACACGGUCCAGACUCCUACGGGAGGCAGCAGUGAGGAAUUUUGCGCAAUGGGGGAAACCCUGACGCAGCGACGCCGCGUGAGUGAAGAAGGCUUUCGGGUCGUAAAGCUCUGUCAAGUGGGAAAAAAGUCUGAUGAUUAAUAGUUGUCAGAUCUGAUGGUACCACUGGAGGAAGCACCGGCUAACUCCGUGCCAGCAGCCGCGGUAAUACAGAGGGUGCAAGCGUUGUUCGGAAUUACUGGGCGUAAAGGGCGUGCAGGCGGGUUGGUAAGUCAGAUGUGAAAGCCCUGGGCUCAACCCAGGAAGUGCAUUUGAAACUGCCAUCCUUGAGUAUGGGAGAGGAGAGUGGAAUUCCCAAUGUAGAGGUGAAAUUCGUAGAUAUUGGGAGGAACACCCGUGGCGAAGGCGACCCUCUGGACCAAUACUGACGCUGAGACGCGAAAGCGUGGGGAGCAAACAGGAUUAGAUACCCUGGUAGUCCACGCUGUAAACGAUGAGAACUAGGUGUAGCGGGUAUUGACCCCUGCUGUGCCGAAGUUAACGCAUUAAGUUCUCCGCCUGGGGAGUACGGCCGCAAGGCUA